RNAcentral lists this ribosomal RNA (386 nucleotides) under uncultured bacterium. RNAcentral describes it as "bacterial SSU rRNA". It matches the Rfam family "Bacterial small subunit ribosomal RNA", at positions 28 to 417 of the family's 1533-position model. The record is from RNAcentral.
GACGAACGCUGGCGGCGUGCUUAACACAUGCAAGUCGAGCGAGGCCCUACCUUCGGGUGGGUGUCCUAGCGGCGAACGGGUGAGUAACACGUGGGCAACCUGCCCUCAGCUCUGGGAUAACUCCAAGAAAUUGGGGCUAAUACCGGAUAUGACUGCUGACCGCAUGGUCUGGUGGUGGAAAGAUUUAUCGGCUGGGGAUGGCCCGCGGCCUAUCAGCUUGUUGGUGGGUAGGGCCUACCAAGGCGACGACGGGUAGCCGGCCUGAGAGGGUGACCGGCCACACUGGGACUGAGACACGGCCCAGACUCCUACGGGAGGCAGCAGUGGGGAAUAUUGCGCAAUGGGCGGAAGCCUGACGCAGCGACGCCGCGUGGGGAUGACGGCCU